Molecule: long non-coding RNA, 480 nt
Filed under: Pan troglodytes (chimpanzee)
Lineage: Eukaryota; Metazoa; Chordata; Mammalia; Primates; Hominidae
Description: long non-coding RNA NONPTRT009952
Source: RNAcentral
CACAGGUUCCUGAAGGGACGUAGGAGGAUGUGAUCUGUGUCCUAUCUGGAAUAUCAAGGGGAUGAAGGCAAUGGAAGUAGCUACCACUUGGUGACUUAGACAAACUCUUAAUGUAAAACCACCAUCAGAGCCACCCUGGAGUUAUGGCAAGGCCACCACAGUCUCCUCCAAAGGCCACUGAUAUGGAACUGGGAACCUCCCUCCAUAGAAUGCUAAAUGGCUGAUGUGAACUUGGUUAAGGAUCUAUAAUUCUUCUUAUGAAGAGGAAAGUUCUGGAAGACCAAAGAAAAUAUGUCAUGAAAUCAAGCCAUUAAGAAGUUGUGACUCCAAAAAAGUAAAAGCGUGAGCUACUGUACACACAUGUAUGUUUCUAUCCAUGGCUCCUGGCUUACAACCCUCCGUAGCCCUGGUUACGGUCUUCUGUUAUAAUGUUGGGGUGCUUUAGGGCUCAGGAGCAAUCCUCAGGAAACAGAAUCUCUC